GGGCGAUUAGCUCAGUUGGUUAGAGCGCUUCCUUGACAUGGAAGAGGUCAGAGGUUCGAGUCCUCUAUCGCCCA
This 74-nucleotide transfer RNA is filed under the name Candidatus Omnitrophica bacterium CG11_big_fil_rev_8_21_14_0_20_63_9. RNAcentral describes it as "tRNA-Val". It matches the Rfam family "tRNA". From Rfam's summary of the family: Transfer RNA (tRNA) molecules are approximately 80 nucleotides in length. Their secondary structure includes four short double-helical elements and three loops (D, anti-codon, and T loops). Further hydrogen bonds mediate the characteristic L-shaped molecular structure. tRNAs have two regions of fundamental functional importance: the anti-codon, which is responsible for specific mRNA codon recognition, and the 3' end, to which the tRNAs corresponding amino acid is attached (by aminoacyl-tRNA synthetases). tRNAs cope with the degeneracy of the genetic code in two manners: having more than one tRNA (with a specific anti-codon) for a particular amino acid; and 'wobble' base-pairing, i.e. permitting non-standard base-pairing at the 3rd anti-codon position. The record is from RNAcentral. Lineage: Bacteria; Pseudomonadati; Candidatus Omnitrophota.